This is a non-coding RNA of Succinatimonas sp. CAG:777, 178 nucleotides long. It matches the Rfam family "6S / SsrS RNA". From Rfam's summary of the family: E. coli 6S RNA was the first non coding RNA to be sequenced, but its function was unknown until recently. The record is from Rfam. NCBI's taxonomy places the organism in Bacteria, Pseudomonadati, Pseudomonadota, Gammaproteobacteria, Aeromonadales, Succinivibrionaceae.
AAUACCCUGGGGUGACAUCUAGCGUUUCUACCCUGAGCCGAUAUCUUUAGACUUUGGUAUCUUCCUGAUAGUGGUGAGUAGGCCCGUUUUACGUGGAAACCUAAAUUAUCAACUGAUGCCAUACUUGAACUCACUGGUUCAAGGAGUCAUGAACAGCGGAUUCAUUUCCGGGGUCUCA